CCCCUCGCCUGGCCUGGAUACAGAAAGAGCUUCAAAGGACUGCUACAGCCAUUAAGGUUCAUUGUGAAAGCCUAACAACUCUUAACGACCCUCCUACAGCUGCUGAAAGGGAAGGAGAGGGACAGGCCGCAUGACGAAGUCAGCCUGAUCCGGAUCAACAUCAAGUGCAAGAGCCUACUGAUGAAGCCUUCUUACUCCAACUUGAGAAGACAUCAUGAUCACAGGCUCUCAUCUUUCUAGGGGAUUUUAACCACCCCAACACCUUCUGGAAAAGUGGUAUGGCAAGCUGUAGGCAAUCCAGGAGGCUCCUGGAGCACCUAGAUUACAACUUCUUAAAAAAUUAGCAGCCCUACCCAAGGGUAUACAUUAUUGGACUUGUUGGUCACAAAUGCAAGAUAAGUCAUCAGGAAUGUCAAAGGCAGCCUGAGCUUCAGUGAUCACGUGCUAGUGCAGUUCACUGUCCUAAGGGGUAUGAAAUCAACAAGCAGCAUAGUCAGGAUGUUAAAUUUUAGAAAAGCAAACUUCCAGCUCUUCAAGAAGUUAGUAAAUAGGACCUUGUGGGAAAUGGCCCUCACAGACAUGGGAGCAGAACGGAGCUGACAGAUCUUUAAGGAUGCUUUCCACAGAGUGCAAUAGAUCUCAAUCCCCAGGUGUAAGAAAUUGGGCAAGGAAGGAAAGAGACCCACUACAGCUAAGUAGAGACCUGCUGGUCAAACCAAAGGGCAAUCCUGAGAAGAUUAUAGGGGUGUUGCCUGGUUGUGUAGCAAUGAGGUCAGGAAAGUCAAGGUGCAGCUGAAACUGAACUUGGCAAGGAAUAUAAAGAAAAACAAAAAAGGCUUCUACAAGUAUGUAAACCAAAGAAGAAAGGUUAAAGGAAACAUACCCUCUGACAAGCAACAGUGGUGAGCUGGCAAUGCAUGUGCACAGCCCAAACAGCCAACCACGUCCUGGGUUGCAUCAAGAGAAGCGUGGCCAUCAGGUCAAUAGAGGUGAUCCUCUCCCUUUACUCUGCUCUCAUGAGACCCCACCUGGAAUACUGUGUACAGUUGCAGAGCCCCCAACACAAGAAGGACAUGGAACUGUUGGAGUGAGUCCAGAGGAGGGCCACAAAGAUGAUCAGAGCACCUCUAUGAGGGCAGGCUACAAGAGUUUGGGCUCUUCAGCCUGGAGGAGAGAAGGCUUUGAGGAGACCUUAUACUGGCCUUCCAGUAUCUGAAAGGGACCUACAAGAAGGCUGGGGAGGGACUAUUUACAAGGUGUCAUGGAGAGUAGCAGAAGCCCUUAGCAGGCCUCCCUGUUGUGAAAGUUAUAGUGUCUCACAUUAAUGCCAAGAGCAUCGCAAAACCAAAACAAUCCUUCAGUCCCAUGAGAAAGUCUCUCCCUAGUCGAGAUAAAAGGUAAACAAUAGCCACUGUUUUGGUUAGGGGGGAACGGCAGUUCUCAUGCCCGCUCGACACCUGGUGUGGGCCAAACUUGGGGUGGUCUUAGAAAUUGUUUUGGUAAAAAUUCUCCAAUUGUAUGGAUUGAUAACUUUGUGCCAAUCUGUAAGAAUAACGUAAAAUAGCCUGGACUGGUGGGUUACACCUCUUUUGAACAUUAUAAAAAUGGUGUGCCAGCCUGGAUCGGGGUACCUGCUCGCUCACUCGCUAGCCUGCCUGCCUCGCUCCUGCCCCGGUGACCUCUUGCUGCCUGCUUCGUUCCUGAUCAGCCCUGCCUGACGAGGGACCCGCAGAGGCCCGAAGUCCGUGUAGGCCUGAUCCUGACAAAGGGACACCGCCCAAAACUUUGAACUUUGCUGAAUUGAACUACGGAACAGAUAUUCUGAAGCAAAAUCAAUUACUUUUGAAAUGAGAGACCGACUGCACCGUUAUUCCGUAGCACCACAACUCACUGACAAAUUCAGCAUUUGUAGAAAACAAACAGAACGUGGUAGUAGAAGACUACACCGUUCAACAAACAUUGGGGGGGGAGGGGGGCAAUAAAAACCACAAACAUUCCUUUUUUAAUCUACCAGUACUACUUCAAUUCCUACUUGUCACAGGACUUGAAAACCCAAACCAUAUACUGCAUCAAAAAAACCCAUCUGUAUAACUGAAGUAAUUUAACAAGGAAUACGACCGCUCCAUUCUGACUAGAGACGGAUUCCCUCCCGCUCCCAACAGCGGAGGUUCAAUCAGUGCAAAUCCAUUAAUAGAGGUCGAGGAAGCUCUCCGAACGCGACUCAGCUCUUAUGCAAAUUCCAUCUCUUCACAAACGUUCCUUAUUACCCUGCUGAGCUACACACCUAAGCCAACCUACAGCAAUGCGAGGUCUCCUUACAAACCUGAGGACAAGACUCUUAGCAGCAGAAUAUAGGAGCACGCUGACCAGGCACUCGGAAAGAAAAAAGCGUUACCACUCCUCCAGAAGCCAGGAAAUUUAACAGAAUAGGAAAGGGAGGGAUGAAAACAGAAGGGAAAGGUGGAAGAAGUUUGUGGGGUUUUUUUUAAAGGAAAAGAUACCUUUUUCCUUGAGCAAAAGCUAUUCUUUAAGCAAACAAAAAGAAAAACAAACAAACAAAAAAACCCGGAAGAGAGUUUAAGGAGAAAGACAAAUAACAAAACCAACAACGAUAUCUUAGUAUCUACUUGAAAUACCAUCGAACCCGCCGAGACAAUAACGUGCAUUUUCUGCAUCACAAAGAGUACAAACGCAGCCUGCCUGCCCCCACCCAACCCGUUAUCGUGUCGUAUCCGUUCCCCCCAGCAACGGAGAAUGUCAGACUGACCUGUUAACAAAUGGCAGCAACGGCAACAGAAGAGAAGCAACGCUGUGUCCGGCCGCUAAGGAGGAGGAGCAGGAAUCUUCAGGAGGUGGAUUCCCGUCCUCUCUUCCUUCCAAGCUCUCUUUUCC
Pogoniulus pusillus (Red-fronted tinkerbird) is the source of this 2892-nucleotide long non-coding RNA. RefSeq lists it as uncharacterized. NCBI's taxonomy places the organism in Eukaryota, Metazoa, Chordata, Aves, Piciformes, Lybiidae. The record is from RefSeq and is a predicted model, not a curated record. The transcript has 3 exons.